This 491-nucleotide ribosomal RNA is filed under the name uncultured bacterium. RNAcentral describes it as "partial 16S ribosomal RNA". It matches the Rfam family "Bacterial small subunit ribosomal RNA", at positions 29 to 507 of the family's 1533-position model. The record is from RNAcentral.
AGUGAACGCUGGCGGUAGGCCUAACACAUGCAAGUCGAACGGCAGCACAGUAAUAGCUUGCUCUUACGGGUGGCGAGUGGCGGACGGGUGAGGAAUACAUCGUAAUCUACUUUUUCGUGGGGCUACCGUAGGGAAACUUACGCUAAUACCGCAUACGCCCUACGGGUGAAAGCAGUGGAUCUUCUGACCUUGCGCGAGUGAAUGAGCCGAUGUCGGAUUAGCUAGGUGGCGGGGUAAAGGCCCACCACGGCGACGAUCCGUAGCUGGGGGGAGAGGAUGAUAGGCCGCACUGGAAGGGAGACACGGUCAAGACUCCUACGGGAGGGAGCAGUGGGGAAUAUUGGACAGUGGGCGCAAGCAUGAUCCAGUGGUACCGCGUGGGUGAAGAAGGCGUUCGGGUUGUAAAGCCGUUUUGUUGGUAAAGAAAAGCAGCCGGUUGAUACGACGCUGUUCUGACGGUAACCAAAGAAUAAGCACCGGCUAACUUCGUG